Molecule: ribosomal RNA, 496 nt
Filed under: uncultured bacterium
Lineage: Bacteria
Description: partial 16S ribosomal RNA
Rfam family: Bacterial small subunit ribosomal RNA
Source: RNAcentral
GACGAACGCUGGCGGCGUGCCUAAUACAUGCAAGUCGAGCGGACAAAGAGGAGCUUGCUCCGCGAUGUUAGCGGCGGACGGGUGAGUAACACGUGGGCAACCUGUCUGUAAGACUGGGGUAACUUCGGGACACCGGAGCUAAUACGGCAUAAUACUUUUGGACUCAUGUUCGGAAGCUGUUAGAUUGGCUCGGCUAUCACGUAAAAGUGGACCCGUGGGGCGUUAGCUAGUUGGUGAGGUAACGGGUUUCCAAAGCCACGAUGCGUAGCCCGCCUGAGAGGGUCAUUGGCCACACGGUGACUGAGACACGUCCCAGACUCCGGCGGUAGGCCGCAGCACAGACUCUUCCGCGAUGGACCAGAGUCUAACGGUGCACCGCCGCGUGAGGCAUGAAGGUUUUCUGACCGUAAAACUCUGUUGUUAGGGAAGUACAAGUGCCCUAUUAACUGCCAGGAUCUUGACGGUACCGAACCAGAAAGCCCCGGCUAACUCCGUG